This 403-nucleotide ribosomal RNA is filed under the name bacterium. RNAcentral's name for it is "partial 16S ribosomal RNA". It matches the Rfam family "Bacterial small subunit ribosomal RNA", at positions 355 to 776 of the family's 1533-position model. The record is from RNAcentral.
UGGGGAAUAUUGCACAAUGGUGGGCACUCUGAUGCAGCGACGCCGCGUGAACGAAGAAGGCUUUCGAGUCGUAAAGUUCUUUUAUAUGGGAAGAUAAUGACGGUACCAUAAGAAAAAGCCCCGGCUAACUACGUGCCAGCAGCCGCGGUAAUACGUAGGGGGCUAGCGUUGUCCGGAAUCACUGGGCGUAAAGGGUUCGCAGGCGGAAAUGCAAGUCAGGUGUAAAAGGCAGUAGCUUAACUACUGUAAGCAUUUGAAACUGCAUAUCUUGAGAAGAGUAGAGGUAAGUGGAAUUUUUAGUGUAGCGGUGAAAUGCGUAGAUAUUAAAAAGAAUACCGGUGGCGAAGGCGACUUACUGGGCUCAUUCUGACGCUGAGGAACGAAAGCGUGGGUAGCAAACAGG